RNAcentral lists this ribosomal RNA (568 nucleotides) under Telmatobius sp. FB-2006. RNAcentral's name for it is "partial 16S ribosomal RNA". It matches the Rfam family "Bacterial large subunit ribosomal RNA", at positions 1819 to 2597 of the family's 2925-position model. The record is from RNAcentral. Lineage: Eukaryota; Metazoa; Chordata; Amphibia; Anura; Ceratophryidae.
CGCCUCUUGAAAAAAUAUAAGAGGUCCAGCCUGCCCAGUGACCAUGUUCAACGGCCGCGGUAUCCUAACCGUGCGAAGGUAGCGUAAUCACUUGUUCUUUAAAUGAGGACUAGUAUGAAUGGCACCACGAAGGUUAUACUGUCUCCUUUUUCUGAUCAGUGAAACUAAUCUCCCCGUGAAGAAGCUGGGAUUUUUAUAUAAGACGAGAAGACCCUAUGGAGCUUUAAACAGAAAAACAAUUGCUACUACAAUUAUUAAUUUCAGAAAACUAAACUUUAUUCUAGCAUUAUGAUUUUCAGUUUUAGGUUGGGGUGACCGCGGAGUAAAACAUAACCUCCGCAUUGAAACGGAUUUUAUCCUAAGCAAAAAGCUACGACUUUAAGCAUCAACAAAUUGACACCAAUUGACCCAAUAUUUUGAUCAACGAACCAAGUUACCCUAGGGAUAACAGCGCAAUCCACUUCAAGAGCUCCUAUCGACAAGCGGGUUUACGACCUCGAUGUUGGAUCAGGGUAUCCCAGUGGUGCAGCCGCUACUAAAGGUUCGUUUGUUCAACGAUUAAAACCCU